GACAGAGGGUGCAAACGUUGUUCGGAAUUACUGGGCGUAAAGCGCGUGUAGGCAGCUCGGAAAGUCGGGUGUGAAAGCCCUGGGCUUAACCUAGGAAGUGCACUCGAAACUUCCGAGCUUGAGUUCUGGAGAGGAAGGCGGAAUUCUCGGUGUAGAGGUGAAAUUCGUAGAUAUCGUAAGGAAGACCAGUGGCGAAGGCGGGUCUCUGGACAGUUCCUGACGCUGAGGCACGAAGGUCAGGGGAGCAAACGGG
RNAcentral lists this ribosomal RNA (253 nucleotides) under uncultured bacterium. Its description in RNAcentral is "partial 16S ribosomal RNA". It matches the Rfam family "Bacterial small subunit ribosomal RNA", at positions 524 to 776 of the family's 1533-position model. The record is from RNAcentral.